GUAAUUGAUUUGUUAAUAAAUAAAAUAUAUUUGGCAUCUUCAUCAUAAGCUUUCAUCUUCUAAUGAACUCCGUUGUUAUGAUGAAGUCCUUAGGACUAUUUAAGUUCGAUAAAGAGAAGAUUUAUCGAUUAGUCCUUAAAACUGUUCAUGAUCAAAUGAUAAGCUGUUAAUAAGGACGACAGCUUCUAUCGAGCAUAGGUCGC
Molecule: long non-coding RNA, 203 nt
Filed under: Elaeis guineensis (African oil palm)
Lineage: Eukaryota; Viridiplantae; Streptophyta; Magnoliopsida; Arecales; Arecaceae
Description: long non-coding RNA (EGUI_LNC049257)
Source: RNAcentral